Mytilus californianus (California mussel) is the source of this 624-nucleotide long non-coding RNA. RefSeq lists it as uncharacterized. The transcript has 4 exons. Lineage: Eukaryota; Metazoa; Mollusca; Bivalvia; Mytilida; Mytilidae. The record is from RefSeq and is a predicted model, not a curated record.
AUUAUGUGAAAUUUUUCAAAAAGUUUAUUAAUUGAAAGUGCAUCUGAUAUUUUUUUAUGUAUGUUACUUUAUUUUCUAAAAACAAAUGGACACAACAUAGAUUGACAAUAAGAUAUUGAGAAGAACCACCUUGUCAGCCAGGAUAGCAGCUCUUAGGAAGAUGGUUAAUUAAAUCUUCAACCAAGUCUGACUCUUUACCAUGAAAAUAGAAAAGGUUCUUUCUGAGACAUGUUUUCAUGGUGUGGGAAUAAGACUUGGUGGUCUUAUACAGCUAAUACAAAGGUUAGCAUCACAGCUUGUCUGUAAGGAUUGAAGCUGGGAGUGGGCAUUGGAGCUGACUUUUAUGAUAACUGUGGCUGCAUAAAAUGGUUGUGUGAUAUAACUGCAACAGUAAAGAAUGUAAUUUAGACUAUUUUUGUGUAUGCUUGAGAAAAUGUUUAUAAUUUUUUUACAAAAAAAAAAAAAAAAAUAUGUAAAGAUUCUCCAUUUUCAACAAGAUUGGAAGUUGUAGGUGAACUUGUAUUUGACAUUACAAAAAUUCUUUCUAUUUUCCGUUUAUACUCAUGUCUAGUCAAAACACUUCCAGCAGUUUAAGAAUGGAUAAUCUAAAAGAAAAAGAAAGAA